AUUAAACUUCUCUCUUGCUUUGAUUGGUCCGUCAAUGCACGCUCGAGAGUGUGGGAGUGGUUAGAUCUGAUAAAAUCUUACAAAAAUGGUGUUGUCUGAUUCAUCGAACUCAAGCACUCUUUUUGGUUUACAAGACAUGGAUUCUCUCUCUCACGCGUCACUUCCCUUUCUCUCUCUCUGACUCUCGACUUUCAGACUAUUCCCCACCUUCUUCCCUCUUUUAGACUUGCCUGGCUUCUUCACUCGACAGAUAGAAAGAGGGUGGUGUAGUCUUGUAGAGAGAGAGUCUGUGUUUUUACUUAUUUUGGAGAGAGAGAGAGAGAG
Molecule: unclassified non-coding RNA, 324 nt
Filed under: Hevea brasiliensis (rubber tree)
Lineage: Eukaryota; Viridiplantae; Streptophyta; Magnoliopsida; Malpighiales; Euphorbiaceae
Source: RNAcentral